GAAGAAUCUCCUUUUCAACGUAGGUUGUGAACACAGGUUUUCAGGGAACUUGCAUGACACUGGGAGGACUCACCUGGGCCUCGCUAGCGUUGGCCCUGGUUAAGUCGCACUGAGAAAUUCGCAGUUUCCGGUGACAGAUAAAGGAAAAAACCUCGGGAGGUGCGCGGUGAUUUUUGUCAGGUUUUCUCGGGUGUUUGGGGGGCGCGGUGACGUGUCU
RNAcentral lists this small RNA (217 nucleotides) under Pseudomonas baetica. Its description in RNAcentral is "Pseudomonas sRNA P4". Lineage: Bacteria; Pseudomonadati; Pseudomonadota; Gammaproteobacteria; Pseudomonadales; Pseudomonadaceae. The record is from RNAcentral.